AACAGAUUUCAAUAAUUUAAAGAAUUCUGAUCACAACAAAAUUUUCUCAAAUUAUCGAAAUGUCAGACCGUGUCCUUCGAAUUUGAUCAGAAUCAUUUUCAUAGCAUAACAGAGAAGUUAUUCCAUUCGUGUUCAUCCAUCAUCAGCGCAGAUAAUAUUUACAUAGAUUUUUCGCUGAUUUUUUUUUCUCUCUUUCUCUCUUUUCCUAACUCAGGAAAAAAAUGCCAUAACAUUUCCAGGUUUUCCCUGACAUGUUCCCAGUUCUAGUAAGUUACUAAAACCUAAAUCGUUCAGCUUAUUAACUCUAUAUUCGGUGCAAAUUCAAUUCGAAUUGAAGAAAAAUAUAACGUAGUACAAAAUAGUGCAAAUUCUCAGC
RNAcentral lists this long non-coding RNA (376 nucleotides) under Neodiprion pinetum (white pine sawfly). RNAcentral's name for it is "uncharacterized LOC124216952". The record is from RNAcentral. Lineage: Eukaryota; Metazoa; Arthropoda; Insecta; Hymenoptera; Diprionidae.